Carassius auratus (goldfish) is the source of this 937-nucleotide long non-coding RNA. RefSeq lists it as uncharacterized. The record is from RefSeq and is a predicted model, not a curated record. NCBI's taxonomy places the organism in Eukaryota, Metazoa, Chordata, Actinopteri, Cypriniformes, Cyprinidae. The transcript is spliced from 4 exons.
UCUGCAGCGGGAGAGAAAGACAGGAGAUGAACGGUGAGUGAGUGUGUUAAACGAAAUAACCAACACCUGUCUCUUGUUUCAGUAAUUGGCGUGGAGAGAGUAUAUAAUGCCAGGAGAAACAGGAACAGGUGAGAAAGUAGAACUCCUGACGGAUGAUUGGGCCUCGUAGAAGAAAACCCGGAAGCGAUUGCGAUAUUGUGUUUAUGUUGGUGUAGUUUUACACUGUGUGUGAGCCGUUAAAAGUGAAUUAUAGAAAUAAAGUACUGUCAGUAAUCAAUCCAUCCGACCCCUCCGUCCUGUUCCUUUCCACUCACGAACACAUUACACUGAUUUAACCAAAAAGCAGCCAUUACCUCCAGGUGCCCUCCAUUAGUGAAGAGUGAAGUCCGAGGUAGAGCAAACAGUUGGACUCUCUUCACCAUGAUGAAAGAAAGAUCUCCCUCUCUACGUUGUGGAUGAACCAGACACCAUACAACAUUCCCUCAAAGAUGAUGAUGAUCUAAAAAUCUUCAGUCUAAACAGACUCCUGCAGCGCACGAGUAGUUGAAGGCAGUGGCCGAGGACUUGAGCGCCGGCCAGAUUUGACAAAGCAAUGGGUCAUCAUCCGCAAACAAUCCCAGCAUGGGCUGCCAUCUGUUUAUGGGAGAGGACAGAACAUGGAUUCCUAUAGUUUGCUUGAUCAUACAACAUUUCCAGUCUAAAUUGGGAAUAAACAGUGACAUGUUUCUAUUUUAAUUGAACAAUUAUGUUGGGAUAUCCUGUUAAGGAGGCAAAUGUUUUAUUUUUGCAGGUUUUUUAUAAUGAUAAAGUACCAGCCAAUCUGAUAUAUUUCAGUUCUGUUAAGAGUAAUUAUGAGAUAUCAGAAAAUGGGGUUCUUGUGGUGUUGGACUUGAAAAAACACUGUAGCAUGCUUUAAACAUCAGUAUUUUAGGAUGCA